UACGGAGGGUGCGAGCGUUGUCCGGAGUCAUUGGGCGUAAAGGGUGCGUAGGCGGCCUGUUAAGUCAGGGGUGAAAGACGGUAGCUCAACUAUCGCAGUGCCCUUGAUACUGAUGGGCUUGAAUUGACUAGAGGUAGGCGGAAUGUGACAAGUAGCGGUGAAAUGCAUAGAUAUGUCACAGAACACCGAUUGCGAAGGCAGCUUACUAUGGUCUUAUUGACGCUGAGGCACGAAAGCGUGGGGAUCAAACAGG
RNAcentral lists this ribosomal RNA (253 nucleotides) under uncultured bacterium. RNAcentral describes it as "partial 16S ribosomal RNA". It matches the Rfam family "Bacterial small subunit ribosomal RNA", at positions 524 to 776 of the family's 1533-position model. The record is from RNAcentral.